This 1236-nucleotide long non-coding RNA is filed under the name Homo sapiens (human). RNAcentral's name for it is "HSALNT0230948". Lineage: Eukaryota; Metazoa; Chordata; Mammalia; Primates; Hominidae. The record is from RNAcentral.
GUACCUCUGUGAAGCAGUGUUAAGUCCCAACAUGGUCAGGGAUAUUUCCUUUUUCUUCGAAUACGAUGACUGGGUCUUGAUUCAAAGGCACUGUUUGGGAGCAGCAUACCAGUGUGGUGUUGAGUCGUAUACCAAUCUGGCAACAUGUUGAUGUUUCCAUGCAGGAAUCCUCACAGCCAGGCUUCACAGCUCAGCAAGGGUCCUGUGCCAUCCCUGCCUGAAGAUCAUUUUGCAUUUUUUAGCUGGUAUCCAGCAUGUUGACUAAGAACAAGAGGGAUUUCUUUGAAAGAACAAUCAGGAUGCCCUAGCUCCUGGGGCCUUUUCCCAGCUCCCAAGCCUGGGAGGCAUUGCCACGGAUGGCCCAGCUCUUUGGUUGAAGGCCUAACUCCAGGAAUGGUGCCAUCAUUUCAGUGGUUAAUAACAAACAAAACAGAAAGAUAGACUGCAUGACUCAUGUACACUGCCACCUGCCGAGGCCUGGGAGCAAAGAUUUGGCAAGGACUAAGGAAGAGGACACAGAAUCUACUUUCUUUCCUCUUCUUUUUCUUUUACAGAAAGACUCUUUGUUUUUGCCAUUUUAUGCACAAGCUAAACAGAUUACAGUCAAGAAAAAUGGGGGCAGGCCCAGGUGUCUAGGAGAUGGGAGAGAAUUUGCAUUCCAAUUGUGGAACGUAUCAAAAGGCGAUUCUUUCUGCCUCAAUUGGAAGGUGCAGCUCAAUUUGGGGGCAAUUUCAACAAGACCAUACCUUUUAUCUCCAAUUCAAACUGGGGGCACUCCAAGGAUGCCCUGGGGAAUCCUGGAAGGAAAGAGCAGCACCUUUAUGAAGGCAGAUGUUUUCAUUUCCUCCCCUCUAGAUCCUUGAAGGUUGAAGGUUGAAAAACAUGAGGCUCAUUUUUUUUUCUGUUUUUGACUUCUAGUAUAUUCGAAAAUGGAGAAAUACCAUAAGUCAAUUGCAAAAUAAAUGAAUUUGAGUAUGUUAAAUGUUAACUCUUGUCAAAAUAACACAUUUCGUGUACCCACAUUGCAGUGAUUGUGUGUGUGACUUCAUUUAUGGAUAACGUCAAAAGUUUGCAUUUAAGGAACAGGAUGGAAAUGAGGCUCCCAGCAGAUGGUUCUUGUGCACCGCCCCCAGCCAGAUGGUUCUGACAAGAUGAUUCUCAGAGAGAAUGCUUCCUCCCUCCACCACUACAUAAAUUGCCCCCUGGCCAGGCAUGGUGGCUCAUGCCUGUAAUCCC